CAGUAGCCACGGUAAUACGUAGGUGGCAAGCGUUGUCCGGAAUUAUUGGGCGUAAAGGGCUCGCAGGCGGCUUCUUAAGUCUGAUGUGAAAGCCCCCGGCUCAACCGGGGAGGGUCAUUGGAAACUGGGAAACUUGAGUGCAGAAGAGGAGAGUGGAAUUCCACGUGUAGCGGUGAAAUGCGUAGAGAUGUGGAGGAACACCAGUGGCGAAAGCGGCUCACUGGACAUUAACUGACGCUGGUGCACGAAAGCUAGGGGAGCAAACAGGAUUAGAUACCCCUGUAGUCCCUGUCUCUUAUAC
This 301-nucleotide ribosomal RNA is filed under the name uncultured bacterium. RNAcentral describes it as "partial 16S ribosomal RNA". It matches the Rfam family "Bacterial small subunit ribosomal RNA", at positions 509 to 807 of the family's 1533-position model. The record is from RNAcentral.